CAAAAGCACUUCACAACCUCCUUGACGCAAGUUUUGACAUUUUUUCCCCCAAUUCAAGCCUUCGCGUUUUCCCCAAUGGGCAACAUUCUUAUUUUUCCCUGAUGCACUUCACUUCCGUUCCUCUCUACACUCUAGGUGUGUUCCCUCUCCCAGCCCCUUCUUUCCUUUCCUUGCUACGCCAUUAGGGUUCUUCAUCUCUGUAGUGCCGCCGGUGGAAUCAACCUUUAAUAGGGCAUCCUCUUUGGGGUUUCCUAGCCAUAGGAAGAAGAGGCAACAUGAGCAAUUUCUACAAUUUCUUCCGCAAGCCCAAGGACACAAAGAAUAUCCGCAAGAGAAAAAAAGUUGACUUCGAUGAGGAAGUCUCCAUCGAUGAUAUUUUGUCUUCCGAUCUAAAGAUGAAGAAGUUCGCCGAGCUUUCCUUCUCUUCGUCUUGCUCCGAGGUUGGCUCCCUGUUCCAGUUUGAUUCGUCCAUGGAGAUCUAGGUCAAGCAUGAUGAUAGUUGCACCAUGGUUGCACUCAAGAUGAAGAUCGAGUUCUCUAAGGAUGCCUGCACCAUCAGAGAGUGGGUGCUGAAGAGGGCAAAGGAGGCUCUCUAAGGGCAAGUAAGUCUGACAGAGGGGCGAUGAUAAGAUAUACAAAGGGAUCCACAGCAUCAUGCAAAGAAUAAGAAAUGUUUUGUCAGCAACAAACCAACUCUUGGCAUCUUUAAUACCACACGCGAGACACGAAAAAGAUGGCUGAAGAUACAUAAGAGGAGCUGACAAUGAUAUGUGUCAAACCAAAGGAUAAUCUAAAAUAAAAUGGUGGUUUUGAAUGUGGAUAUUGUGUAAUGCGGUACAUGAAAGAGAUAGUCUUAGAUGAAGAUCCACAAUUGGAGAGGAAGUUACCUUGCAGUUACCUUUACAAAUACUUGAAGAAAGAAAAAAGAGCUAAGUAUGUAUCAUUUGUGGAUCCUGGUCACAUACCUACAUGCGUUGUGGGUGAAGAAGGCAGUAAAUUGUCACAACAUAUUGCUGGUCAGUUGAGAGCAUCAAACAGAGAUAACAUUUGCUUCAUCCCAUAUAACAUUGGGUAAGAUUUUAAUUAUUUAUCAAUUCCUAUUAAAUACUAGUCAAUGUUAUAUUUUCAUUUGUACAAGUAUCAUUAGAUCUUGACUAUAAUUAAUGAAGAUAAGAAUAUGAUAUAUUUAUUGGACUCUUUGAGUAACCGGAACCGAGACUAUGCUUGACAAACUAUUAUGACCAAGUAAGUAGUAGAUUAUACUGAUUUUGAAUGCAUUCAAUUCAUUAUAGGUUGUAAAAAUAAUUUUCUAUUAUUUACAAUGUAGUGGGGGCAAGAUAUAUAAUGCAUCAAGGGGUAUUCAAAAGGACCAGGUUUUAAACAAUUGACAGUAUGUAUUGUGACUAUAUAUUUAGAUAAUAAUUAAUAAUUUUUAUUAUUUGGAUUGUGACUUCUUGCAUGAAUU
This is a long non-coding RNA of Zingiber officinale, 1465 nucleotides long. RefSeq lists it as uncharacterized. NCBI's taxonomy places the organism in Eukaryota, Viridiplantae, Streptophyta, Magnoliopsida, Zingiberales, Zingiberaceae. The transcript has 4 exons. The record is from RefSeq and is a predicted model, not a curated record.